CAGCCGCCACGGUAAUACGGAGGGUGCAAGCGUUAAUCGGAAUUACUGGGCGUAAAGCGCACGCAGGCGGUCUGACAAGUCAGAUGUGAAAUCCCCGGGCUUAACCUGGGAACUGCAUUUGAAACUGUCAGGCUGGAGUCUUGUAGAGGGGGGUGGAAUUCCAGGUGUAGCGGUGAAAUGCGUAGAGAUCUGGAGGAAUACCGGUGGCGAAGGCGGCCCCCUGGACAAAGACUGACGCUCAGGUGCGAAAGCGUGGGGAGCAAACAGGAUUAGAUACCCGAGUAGUCCCUGUCUCUUAUAC
Molecule: ribosomal RNA, 301 nt
Filed under: uncultured bacterium
Lineage: Bacteria
Description: partial 16S ribosomal RNA
Rfam family: Bacterial small subunit ribosomal RNA
Source: RNAcentral